UUGUUUCACAGUUCAUGCUAUUUUUUUUAAGAGUCAACGGUGGGCUAAGAAAGCCCACCUGAACAUUCAUUUCUUCAAAGUGAGAUUACAAGAUCAGGCGACCGUCCUCGAUAACGAGUACGGUGAUCAGGAUAAUUACAAAUCGCAGCACGAGCACACACCCAAGGAAACAAAACAGCCACAACAAUGGAACAGAAGCAUAAUGGGGCCGAGCAAUUCUUGCUCCAAGGCGGGACUCCAGACGAUUGACGGGUUGAACUACUGUGGCUGCACAAAGCUUGAAGACACCCUCAUCACAAAGAGACACCAGCAACUAGGUAGCCCAAAUCAUAGCAAGAGAGGUUGGCAACGGGCAAGGAUGAACCUCGACCUGAAUCACUAGCCUGGGUGAGAGCGGUGGCCAGCGCCUGUGGCUGAUCAUGGUCGCCCGCAAUAAGCGAGGCACAACAGAAGCCGCCGAGACCGUGCGAAGGUGAAGCACCUCCCUGCGCGCCGGGCACGGCACUCUCGUUCCACGGCAAUGGCCCCGAAUCCAGCGUUCGUGCGGAGGCGAAUCGCCUCCCCGCACACCGAGUGCGGCGCUCUCGCUGCACGACCGCCAGCGCCCAAAGAUCCGCGGAAUAGGUCGGGGAAGGGGAGGGGAGGGCCGCAAGCUGAGGCACAGAGGGCCAUCGACGCAGCUUGCCAGCGAGGAGCGACGGUGUAACAGGUCGUCAAGACCGCAACAAGAUCUGGGAGCCACAGGGGAAGCAGGCAGGCAGAGGGCCCCCCAAAACCGGCCGUCGGAGCAGAUCCACAGGGCCACACCCGGGACCAGCCGUGCCCAUAGCUUUCACCCCUCACGCCAUGAGAGCAAGCAGGAGGGGGCACCCGAGCUUUGGGCGAGAUCGAGAUCUGGAAGGAGCUUCGAGUGGCAAAAUAGAUCGGGGGAGAGAAGAGGAAGCGGCGGGGAGUGAGGUGCUGCUGUGGCUCGAGGCCCGCCGCCGCUGCCGGCGACGGCAGCGACGGCGGCGGGCUGCGGUGCGUGAGGAGGGGGAGCGGCGGAGUACGGAUGGGGGCGCCCCUGAGUGACAGGAGUCCUCUCCAAGCCUCUGCGGUCACAGUUCAUGCUAUAAAUUGUGCAAGGUAGUUUUUGUCGAAACUUAUCUUAUCUUGGUAACCUUUAUUGCAAAUUUUGUAAUAUUGUUCAUGGUUAUUUUAGGGACCCAUGCCUGACAUCCAAGCAUAUGUAUGGCACAAGGACGAAUACUCUACAAGCAACAUUUGAAAUCCUAUUAACCACGUUGGAUGUCAUUGUCACAGAAACUAUUUUCAAACUGAAGGUUGAGAUUUGAGAACUACUUAGGCAGUUGUUUUCUUCAAAACUGCACUUAUUUAAAGAAGAGAUAAAAGAGAUUUUCUAUGACUAACCUUGCAUACGAGCAAGUUAGCUUUUCCAG
Molecule: long non-coding RNA, 1439 nt
Filed under: Setaria viridis
Lineage: Eukaryota; Viridiplantae; Streptophyta; Magnoliopsida; Poales; Poaceae
Description: long non-coding RNA (SVIR_LNC006627)
Source: RNAcentral